GGGCCGAACUAUAGAUCGUACGUCAGCCUGCCCAGUGACUUAGUUCAACGGCCGCGGUACCCUGACCGUGCGAAGGUAGCAUAAUCACUUGUUCCUUAAAUAGGGACUAGUAUCAACGGCACCACGAGGACUAUACUGUCUCCCCCUCCUAAUCUAUGAAACUAAUCUCCCCGUGAAGAAGCGGGGAUAAAACUAUAAGACGAGAAGACCCCAUGGAGCUUUAAAUUCAACAGACAAUCUUGUAUACAUUAACCAUUACAACUCCAGAACCCUGUCUGUUAAUUUUAGGUUGGGGUGACCGCGGAGUAUAGCUAAACCUCCACAACGAACAUAAUUCUAACCUUUAUCCAAGAGCCACAACUCUAAGAAUCAACAAAUUGACGUUAAAUGACCCGACAUUCGAUUAAUGAAACAAGUUACCCUGGGGAUAACAGCGCAAUCUGCUUUUAGAGCCCAUAUCAACAAGCAGGCUUACGACCUCGAUGUUGGAUCAGGAUAUCCCGGCGGUGCAGCCGCUGCCAAGGUUCGUUUGUUCACAAUAAAACCUACGUGAUCUGAGUUCAACCGG
RNAcentral lists this ribosomal RNA (568 nucleotides) under Nyctibatrachus major (Malabar night frog). Its description in RNAcentral is "partial 16S ribosomal RNA". It matches the Rfam family "Bacterial large subunit ribosomal RNA", at positions 1835 to 2618 of the family's 2925-position model. The record is from RNAcentral. Lineage: Eukaryota; Metazoa; Chordata; Amphibia; Anura; Nyctibatrachidae.